Molecule: ribosomal RNA, 253 nt
Filed under: uncultured bacterium
Lineage: Bacteria
Description: partial 16S ribosomal RNA
Rfam family: Bacterial small subunit ribosomal RNA
Source: RNAcentral
UACGUAGGGGACUAGCGUUGUCCGGAUUUAUUGGGCGUAAAGAGCGUGUAGGCGGCCAGGUAGGUCUGGUGUGAAAACUCGAGGCUUAACCUAGAGAUGUCAUCGGAAACCAUCUGGCUAGAGUCCGGAAGAGGAGAGUGGAAUUCCUGGUGUAGCGGUGAAAUGCGCAGAUAUCAGGAAGAACACCAAUGGCGAAAGCAGCUCUCUGGGACGGUACUGACGCUGAGACGCGAAAGCGUGGGGAGCGAACAGG